GGACUACUGGGGUUUCUAAUCCUGUUCGCUCCCCUAGCUUUCGCGCCUGAGCGUCAGCGACCAGCCAGGACACUGCCUUCGCCUUUGGUAUUCCUCCGGAUAUCUACGCAUUUCACCACUCCACCCGGAAUUCUGUGUCCCUCUCUGGCCCUCAAGUGCCACAGUUUUCGAGGAGCCUGGUUCAGUUAAGCCGAACCCUGUCACCCCAAACUUGUCGCACCGCCUGCGCGCCCUUUACGCCCAGUAACUCCGGACAACGCUCGCCCCCUACGUCUUACCGCGGCUGCUGGCAC
Molecule: ribosomal RNA, 293 nt
Filed under: uncultured bacterium
Lineage: Bacteria
Description: partial 16S ribosomal RNA
Source: RNAcentral